RNAcentral lists this ribosomal RNA (345 nucleotides) under uncultured bacterium. RNAcentral describes it as "partial 16S ribosomal RNA". It matches the Rfam family "Bacterial small subunit ribosomal RNA", at positions 338 to 694 of the family's 1533-position model. The record is from RNAcentral.
CCUACGGGGGGCAGCAGUCGAGAAUCAUUCACAAUGGGGGAAACCCUGAUGGUGCGACGCCGCGUGGGGGAAUGAAGGUCUUCGGAUUGUAAACCCCUGUCAUGUGGGAGCAAAUUAAAAAGAUAGUACCACAAGAGGAAGCGACGGCUAACUCUGUGCCAGCAGCCGCGGUAAUACAGAGGUCUCAAGCGUUGUUCGGAAGCACUGGGCGUAAAGCGUGCGUAGGCUGUUUCGUAAGUCGUGUGUGAAAGGCGCGGGCUCAACCCGCGGACGGCACAUGAUACUGCGAGACUGGAGUAAAGGAGAGGGAGGCGGAAUUGCCGGUGUAGCGGGGAAAUGCGGAGA